This 1878-nucleotide long non-coding RNA is filed under the name Mus musculus (house mouse). Its description in RNAcentral is "predicted gene 28564". The record is from RNAcentral. Lineage: Eukaryota; Metazoa; Chordata; Mammalia; Rodentia; Muridae.
AAGCACAGGACUGCGUCUCUCACCACCACAGCCAGGCAGCUGCUCUUCUAGCUUCUGAUUAUCAUCCCCAAGCCAUGCCUUGGUCAUUUCUGAGUUGAACAAAAUCAUGGAAGAUGUGACUGUCAAGUGGAGACAUCGAGCCUUUCUGCUGCCCUCAGCAUCUCCCAGCAGCCUCUCUGGUUCAAGACUUUCUUUGUCUCUAGAAGUUGCUCCAGGAUCCCAGACUGUAUUGCUAAGCCAUAGGAAGAGAGAGGAGAAAUGUUAGGAUGGGAGAGUCGCAUCAACAUUCUCAAAAGAAUUCCAUGAUGACAUCAGUACCCAUCCUCAACUGCAAUGAAACUGUGUGUCUCUCCCAAGGAGAUAAACAGGAGGGGAACAUUAGAAACAGAUGCUGCCUGUGGCUGCCUUUUCAUAAUACUCCAUGCCAACGAUUUGCACUUCUGUCGUCCCUUUCAUCUGGGAACCACAAGGCCAUCUGAAACUUCUCUGAUCAGCUUCAGAGGAGUCCCCUCUAUCAGUUAAGAAUUGUACUCUACACUGAGAAGCAGGUAUUGCAUUUGUUGGUCGCAAGGAUAAUCCCCCAAAUUCCCACAGCAUCCAGAUGAAGUUGUCUACUGUCCACAGGAUGUUCAGCAAAGACACCGGGAUGUAUUUGCCUGAAGAAGAACGGAAGAGAACUGAAAAGAGACAUCUAAGGGGAUGACGUUGUCAUCGGGCCAUUAAUACCUGAACUGCAUUUUAUUUCACAGAGGGCCUCAGGUACUCACAUAGCCCUACAGUGUGGAAUCAAUGUCUGAGAAACCAGGAAGAAAAUCUGACCCAAAGCUAGUGGAAAGGCAGAGAGAGAAGCUGAUACCUUCAGGAACAGCGAAUGCCACACUUGUUUCUGCUCCCCCUGGAUUUAUCAUGGAAGGUGAUCUAAUCCAUCCAUUCCCAGAAGAGAGUGUGUUGUAGCACUGGGUAUUUAUUCUCAGCAUGCCAAAGUUCUGUGCCCACAGAAAAGGUCCACCUCGCCUACUGUCAAGACUUUGGGUAGAUGUGUGGAUGCUCAGAUGCCUUGCUCCUUUCUCCUUUCUCAUGCAUGUUUCUGGCUUUGUGUAUUCCCUGGAUUUUGCCCAUGUCCUUCAUCACUGUGGGCUCCAAGAUACACUUUACUUGGUCUGUGAAAAACAGCUGACUCAACUGAAAACCUCCAUGGACUUCUUCACUAUUGAUUCAGGGUGGACUCUACUUGCAUUGGUGAAAUUCCAGCCUGGGUUACUUCUGUCCAGUCUUAAUACUGAAAUUCUAGAGAGUAGCCACCCAAUCUGGAAGCCACGACAAAACUCUUGAUGGACGUGGGGAACUAGGUCAAUAUGUCACAUCCACAUCAUCCUAGAUCAGAUUGCCUGGGGACACAAUGACCAAGCUUUCCCAUCCAUAGAAGACAUGCUUCAGGCUGUCCCUACAGGCCCCCUCCAGCUCUUUAAGAGAGAUCCUUAGGGAGGCCCUGGUCUUUGUCAGAGACUGGGGUUGGUGGAGGGUGGCUAAUCUGUAAGUCUCCAGAAAACUAUGUGUCUGUCCUAUACAAUCUCAGCAAGCUGUUGGCCCAAAGUCUUGUGUUUUGCACUAACCAUGUAUCUCUCACUUCAUAUUAAACAAUACCCUCAACUUUUCAUCCUGAAAUCUCUUCUUGGUACAUUUGUUCAUUUUUCAUUCAUCUUUUCCUUUCUAAAUUUUCAAUGAUGUCCCUGAAUCAGGUGCAGAGAGAUGGCUCAAUUAAAAUAGUAGGGAGUGAACAUUACACUGGAAAUAAAUGUGGUAUAUUUAAGAAUUUAUGACAGGUUUUGAGACAGAUGUUGAUUUUACUUCAAAAUAAAGUACAGUUAUUUUAUGCAA